UGAGGGAAUAUUGGGUCAAUGGGCGGGAGCCUGAACCAGCCAAGUAGCGUGAAGGAUGACUGCCCUAUGGGUUGUAAACUUCUUUUAUAAGGGAAUAAAGUGUCCCACGUGUGGGAUUUUGCAUGUACCUUAUGAAUAAGCAUCGGCUAAUUCCGUGCCAGCAGCCGCGGUAAUACGGAAGAUGCGAGCGUUAUCCGGAUUUAUUGGGUUUAAAGGGAGCGUAGGCGGGAGGUUAAGUCAGUUGUGAAAGUCUGCGGCUCAACCGUAGAAUUGCAGUUGAUACUGUCCUUCUUGAGUGCGGCAGAGGCAGGCGGAAUUCGUGGUGUAGCGGUGAAAUGCUUAGAUAUCACGAAGAACCCCGAUUGCGAAGGCAGCCUGCUGGACCGUAACUGACGCUGAUGCUC
This 404-nucleotide ribosomal RNA is filed under the name uncultured Bacteroides sp. RNAcentral's name for it is "bacterial SSU rRNA". It matches the Rfam family "Bacterial small subunit ribosomal RNA", at positions 354 to 754 of the family's 1533-position model. The record is from RNAcentral. Lineage: Bacteria; Pseudomonadati; Bacteroidota; Bacteroidia; Bacteroidales; Bacteroidaceae.